Molecule: long non-coding RNA, 965 nt
Organism: Pygocentrus nattereri (red-bellied piranha)
Lineage: Eukaryota; Metazoa; Chordata; Actinopteri; Characiformes; Serrasalmidae
Exons: 2
Source: RefSeq, a predicted model, not a curated record
GGUACUAUUUGGAUGGUGCACUGCAAUAACACUAACAUGAUGAUGAUGUGUCAGUGUGUGUUGCACUGGUCUGAGUGGAUCAGACACAGCAGGGUGUGUGUGUGUGCAUGUGUGUGUAUAUAUGCCUCCCAGAGUCAUUAAGAAGACAGCCAAGGAGCUUCUCAAGCAGCUGGAGACUUCAUUUAACGUUGCACUCCCUGUGUUUUUAAUUUAUCAGCGUCUGGUGGAACGUCUAAAGGAGGAACUACAGACGCUGUUCCAGAUAGAAAUUACCCCCCUGGUCCUUGAUGGGCAGCUCUUCCCUUACGAGAAUGAAGCCGCUUCUUACAUUGUCAAUGAGGCAUACAAAAGCCUUUUGAAACAGCGCUUAACACCAUCCUGAAAGAGUUUAUUGACUACGCUCUGGGAUGUUUUAUUGUCUUUAGUUGUUCCCCAUAUGCUGCUGAGGAAACAUCCCAGGAGUUGGGGUUGCCUGAGCUUCAGGAGGAUUCAGAUCGGCAGUCAAAAUCCAAUGAGUCCAGAAGAAGGAGCGAGAGUGCUGCUUCAAGAAAUCUGAGCGCCGGGUCCUGCAGCACCGUUCUCAGUGAAUCAGGUCUAUCAGAACUUGAGAACUUGAUCCAAGAAUGUGAUGGUUCUCCUCACCUGAGUGAUCUGAGCGAUGAGUGCUCUGAGAUCUUCACCGCGUAUCAGAACUAUCGACAGUACAGCCCCACGAAAAGACCCUGCACGUACCUGGUGAAGUCUGCUGAAUCUCCCCUGGAAGGCUCCCCUGAUUUGUCCAACUCCAUCCCUUCGGUUCAGGUGUCUGAGGCCUCUGAGGACUUGGUGGAGAAUAGAGUGUUUUCAACUUCCUGAGAAGAGUCAUCUGCUUGGAUGCAUCCCAUCUCGUCGUGUGGAACCCCUUUAAACUUCCUGUGUCUUCAACCCCUUCUCAAAAAAAAAAACACCCUUUUCCUUAAUAAAAA